Molecule: ribosomal RNA, 423 nt
Filed under: uncultured bacterium
Lineage: Bacteria
Description: bacterial SSU rRNA
Rfam family: Bacterial small subunit ribosomal RNA
Source: RNAcentral
UGAGGAAUAUUGGGCAAUGCCCGCAAGGGUGACCCAGCAACGCCGCGUGGAGGAUGAAGGUCGUAAGAUUGUAAACUCCUGUUAGAGGGGAAGAAUAACUAAGUUUGGAGCUUAGUAUGACUGUACCCUCAGAGAAAGCCCCGGCUAACUACGUGCCGGCAGCCGCGGUAAUACGUAGGGGGCAAGCGUUGUCCGGAUUUACUGGGUGUAAAGGGCGCGCAGGCGGAAUGGAAAGUCAGUGGUGAAAUCCUACAGCUUAACUGUAGAACUGCCUUUGAUACUUUCAUUCUUGAGUUCGGGAGAGGGAGACGGAAUUCCAGGUGUAGGGGUGAAAUACGUAGAUAUCUGGAAGAACACCAGUUGCGAAGGCGGUCUCUUGGGCCGAUACUGACGCUGAGGCGCGAAAGCGUGGGGAGCAAACAG